Lepus europaeus (European hare) is the source of this 1921-nucleotide long non-coding RNA. RefSeq lists it as uncharacterized. The transcript is spliced from 5 exons. NCBI's taxonomy places the organism in Eukaryota, Metazoa, Chordata, Mammalia, Lagomorpha, Leporidae. The record is from RefSeq and is a predicted model, not a curated record.
UGGGAGGAGGAGGAGGAGGGCUGGCUCGGGCAAGGUUGGCGAGGAGCCGGAGGGGAGAGAGAGGAGCCCGAGCUAGCGGAGAGGAAGGGGGUGCCAUCCAUUCAUCCCGGUCACUUUUUGGUUUCAGGACGUGGCAGCUGGUCGGACAGGGGGAGUCGUCGGGCAGGGUGCACGCCGGAGGCCUGGGGCAGCGGAGGUAUAGCCGGCAGCGUGGGCAGGUGAGUCCCUUCCCUCCCCGGCCCUGGCGGCCCGGGCCUCCGCAGCCAGGAGGUUUUGGGGCGCGAGGGCCGGCGAGGAGAAGCGGCUGGCCUCCCGGCGGAGCAGGACAGAGCGCAGGAGAGCGAGCUCAGGUGACAUCUUCUCGGGGGGAGCCGAGACGGGGCGAGGCCGGGGUGGGCCCUGUGGGCCCGUCCCGGGAGGAAGGGACUUUGCAGGAGGGCAGGGCAGAGAGCAGGGGUGGGCUGCCAGCAUGGCGCAGAGCGCAGGGCGGAUCCCAGCAGGUGUGGGGACACCCCAGGCCCCGGCGGGACAGGACGAGGGGGGAGGGCACAGGACACUAGACAGAUGGGUCCCCAGCUGCCACCACAUCUCACCCACCGCAACCCACUUAGAAGCAGGUACAGGAGACGCCCCGGCUGGGCAAUCUCAGGCCCGCGCCGGGGCGUCGAGAGCUGGAGAGUGGAGAAGAGGGGCAGUGCAGCGGCGUGGCUGGAGGUGGCCGCGUGGCACUGCAGCCCGGGGCUGAGCGGGGAGGGCCCACAGUGGAUGCCCUCCCCGCUCGGCCACGGGCGCUGGCACAGCAGACAGUACCAGGGGAGUCAAGGGCACAGGCGAGGCCAGGCUAGGCGAGACGGGCGAGGUGGCGUGCAUGAGUGCUCUCGGGGGGAGGUGGGGCGCAGGCAGGGACGAGGAGCGGGGCGCUGGCCUCCAGAGCCCGCGGCCAAGGCGGGCCUUGCGGGCGGCGACGGAGCAGUGAUCGGCGCCUCUGCGUUCCCGGUGGAGACCACGCGAGGGGGAGCUGUGCCUGCCGCACGCCAGGUGCAGGCGAGCCGAGGGACAUGACAUGGUCCGGUGUGACGGUGAGGACAGAGGGGCUGGCCGUGCGGUCUUCCAGAACAUCUUCGGUGGGCACCGCGGGGGAGCUGCCGUCAGGAGCGAGUCUCUGUCCCUUCUGUCGCCAAGGAGCUGACACACACACACAUACCCACUACUGCUGCUCUCUGGACCCUUGGAACUCUCAGAGAAAGAAAUGGUGCUGCCCAGCUCAAGUCUGGGCCCUCGAACCCGGGGACUCGUGAGUCCGUCCUGUUGUGAAUCAAGAAGACUUUGCCUUUGGAACCUCGACACAGCCUUGCUCAGGGUCAGCUCCCAGGUGACGCCCAAGGAAGGAGACCUCGCCCACACCGCCAUCAGCAGCAGCAACGCCCGCACCCCCUCGCCCCCUGCCACUCCAUCUGCGCGGCCAUCCCGCGGCAUCCGGGUGCUCCCGGAGCUGGGCCCUCCGCGGGGUGGCCCCCACCGCCUCCCUUCUUUCUUUCCUCUUCUUUUUCUCUCUCUCUGCCUGAGUGUUUGCUCUCCCAUUGCUUGAGAGACUCGGAGCACCCCCGACUCCGCCCCCCAUCCCCUCUACGUUUAUUUUGCACUAAGUCGUCGGCACUGGUCUGGAGUCGCCGGCGGCCCUGAGUCUCUGGAGCGCGUGUGCGAGCCCUUAGCCAGCCCGGCCCCGGCACCUGCCUAUCCGCCCAUCACUGUCCGGGGUCCCGGGCGCUGGCCGUGUGUCUGAGGCCUCGCCCCCACCUCGCCUGGCCUGGGUGCUCCCGCCCAGCGGAGCGGCCUUAGAACACCCACAGGCCCCUCUCGCCCUGUGCCCCUCCCCACCAGGGCCCCAGCAGGAGCCCUGGCCUCAUCAAUAAAACUCAGU